This 70-nucleotide transfer RNA is filed under the name Camelus ferus (Wild Bactrian camel). It matches the Rfam family "tRNA". Rfam says of the family: Transfer RNA (tRNA) molecules are approximately 80 nucleotides in length. The record is from Rfam by way of RNAcentral. Lineage: Eukaryota; Metazoa; Chordata; Mammalia; Artiodactyla; Camelidae.
GGAUAUAGCUCAGUGGUAGAGUGCGUGACUAGCAUGCACAAGGUCCUGGGUUCAAUCCCCAGUUCCUCCA